This 392-nucleotide ribosomal RNA is filed under the name uncultured bacterium. RNAcentral's name for it is "partial 16S ribosomal RNA". It matches the Rfam family "Bacterial small subunit ribosomal RNA", at positions 523 to 918 of the family's 1533-position model. The record is from RNAcentral.
AUACGGAGGAUCCGAGCGUUAUCCGGAUUUAUUGGGUUUAAAGGGUGCGCAGGCGGCCAUUUAAGUCAGCGGUUAAGUCGUGGGGCUCAACCCCAUUCUGCCGUUGAUACUGGGUGGCUUGAUUGCGGUCGAGGUUGGCGGAAUUCGUUGUGUAGCGGUGAAAUGCAUAGAUAUGACGAAGAACACCGAUUGCGUAGGCAGCUGACCAGACCGCAAAUGACGCUCAUGCACGAAAGUGCGGGGAUCGAACAGGAGUAGAUACCCUGGUAGUCCGCACAGUAAACGAUGAAUACUUGUUUUCGGCGAUAUAAUGUCGGAGGCAAAGCGAAAGCGAGAAGUAUUCCACCUGGGGAGUACGCCGGCAACGGUGAAACUCAAAUGAAUUGACGGGG